This 80-nucleotide transfer RNA is filed under the name Schistosoma mattheei. It matches the Rfam family "tRNA". From Rfam's summary of the family: Transfer RNA (tRNA) molecules are approximately 80 nucleotides in length. Their secondary structure includes four short double-helical elements and three loops (D, anti-codon, and T loops). Further hydrogen bonds mediate the characteristic L-shaped molecular structure. tRNAs have two regions of fundamental functional importance: the anti-codon, which is responsible for specific mRNA codon recognition, and the 3' end, to which the tRNAs corresponding amino acid is attached (by aminoacyl-tRNA synthetases). tRNAs cope with the degeneracy of the genetic code in two manners: having more than one tRNA (with a specific anti-codon) for a particular amino acid; and 'wobble' base-pairing, i.e. permitting non-standard base-pairing at the 3rd anti-codon position. Lineage: Eukaryota; Metazoa; Platyhelminthes; Trematoda; Strigeidida; Schistosomatidae. The record is from Rfam by way of RNAcentral.
GGUGGAAUCGCCGAGUGGUCUAAGGCGAUGGUUUAAAGCACCAGUCCUAAAGAGUGUGCGUUAGAAUCCCACUUCCAUCA